GGGAGCUUGCUCCCGCUGACGAGUGGCGAACGGGUGAGUAAUGCAUCGGAACGUGCCGAAUAGUGGGGGAUAACGCACCGAAAGGUGUGCUAAUACCGCAUACGCCCUGAGGGGGAAAGUGGGGGACCGCAAGGCCUCACGCUAAUCGAGCGGCCGAUGUCGGAUUAGCUAGUUGGUGGGGUAAAGGCUCACCAAGGCGACGAUCCGUAGCGGGUCUGAGAGGAUGAUCCGCCACACUGGGACUGAGACACGGCCCAGACUCCUACGGGAGGCAGCAGUGGGGAAUUUUGGACAAUGGGGGAAACCCUGAUCCAGCCAUGCCGCGUGUCUGAAGAAGGCCUUCGGGUUGUAAAGGACUUUUGUCCGGGAGGAAACCCUGAUCGUUAAUAGCGGUCGGGACUGACAGUACCGGAAGAAUAAGCACCGGCUAACUACGUGCCAGCAGCCGCGGUAAUACGUAGGGUGCAAGCGUUAAUCGGAAUUACUGGGCGUAAAGCGUGCGCAGGCGGUGAGAUAAGUCAGCUGUGAAAGCCCCGGGCUCAACCUGGGAACUGCGGCCGAAACUGUCUCGCUAGAGUACGUCAGAG
This 587-nucleotide ribosomal RNA is filed under the name uncultured Microvirgula sp. Its description in RNAcentral is "bacterial SSU rRNA". It matches the Rfam family "Bacterial small subunit ribosomal RNA", at positions 74 to 656 of the family's 1533-position model. The record is from RNAcentral. Lineage: Bacteria; Pseudomonadati; Pseudomonadota; Betaproteobacteria; Neisseriales; Aquaspirillaceae.